This 188-nucleotide ribosomal RNA is filed under the name uncultured bacterium. RNAcentral describes it as "partial 16S ribosomal RNA". It matches the Rfam family "Bacterial small subunit ribosomal RNA", at positions 1315 to 1500 of the family's 1533-position model. The record is from RNAcentral.
CCUACAUGAAGCUGGAGUUACUAGUAAUCGCAGAUCAGAAUGCUGCGGUGAAUGCGUUCCCGGGUCUUGUACACACCGCCCGUCACACCACGGAAGUUGGGGGCGCCCGAAGCCACUUAGCUAACCCAUUUGGGAAGCGAGUGUCGAAGGUGAAAUCAAUAACUGGGGUGAAGUCGUAACAAGGUAAC